GAUGAACGCUGGCGGCGUGCCUAAUACAUGCAAGUCGAGCGAACCGCCGAGGCGCUUGCUCCUCUGACGUUAGCGGCGGACGGGUGAGUAACACGUGGAUAACCUACCUCUAAGACUGGGAUAACUUCGGGAAACCGGAGCUAAUACCGGAUAAUAUAUUGAACCGCAUGGUUCAAUAGUGAAAUACGGUUUUGCUGUCACUUAUAGAUGGAUCCGCGCCGCAUUAGCUAGUUGGUAAGGUAACGGCUUACCAAGGCGACGAUGCGUAGCCGACCUGAGAGGGUGAUCGGCCACACUGGAACUGAGACACGGUCCAGACUCCUGCGGGAGGCAGCAGUAGGGAAUCUUCCGCAAUGGGCGAAAGCCUGACGGAGCAACGCCGCGUGAGUGAUGAAGGUCUUCGGAUCGUAAAACUCUGUUAUUAGGGAAGAACAAAUGUGUAAGUAACUAUGCACGUCUUGACGGUACCUAAUCAGAAAGCCACGGCUAACUACGUG
This 497-nucleotide ribosomal RNA is filed under the name uncultured bacterium. RNAcentral describes it as "partial 16S ribosomal RNA". It matches the Rfam family "Bacterial small subunit ribosomal RNA", at positions 28 to 507 of the family's 1533-position model. The record is from RNAcentral.